Drosophila nasuta is the source of this 1070-nucleotide long non-coding RNA. RefSeq lists it as uncharacterized. The record is from RefSeq and is a predicted model, not a curated record. NCBI's taxonomy places the organism in Eukaryota, Metazoa, Arthropoda, Insecta, Diptera, Drosophilidae. The transcript is spliced from 3 exons.
CCUCUGUGGAAGAUACAGAAGAAGAGAGAAGAAGAGUUGAGGAACAGGGAAUUUGAUAAAGAUUGGUAAUUAAGCAGAAUAACAACGCGCCAACAAGCAACUAAGCCAAGUGAGGGAAACAAGAAAAAGGAAAAGGGAGAAGGGAACGCAGCCACUUCUAUGUUAAUUAACUAAAAGGCCAAAAGAAAAGAAGGCGAAGUGAAGCUCAUAUCGCUGCGAUGGGCCAAAAACAGUAGCUUGUUAGCCAAGAAUGCCGCUCAUAUCCAGCGGAUACGUUUUGUAUCUCGUUUGACAGACGCCGCCGAUAAAGAUAGAAGAGCAGAAAGCAGAGCUAAAGUUGUUGCCGAGUGUUGAAAUCGAAAGGAGAGCAAAAACUUGUGUGCGCCUUAAUUGGAUGAAAAUUGUUGAAAUAUUUAAAGCACAAGCGGACAAUGGUAAAAAGACUGAAGAAGAUGCUUUUAUUAUCCUUUUGUGUUGCACAGCACAGACAACAGCAACAACAACAACAAGAACUUGAGCACACAUAACUCAAAAAUGUUGUAUGCGUGUUUUGGGGAAGAAAUCCUUUUCUGGUCCAGCCUAAUCAAAAUGCCUCAUGUGGCAGCGUAUCGCCUGAAACUUGAGAAGACCUCAAGAGGGAGAUAGAGUGCGAGAGAGGAAGAGAGAGAGUGAGAGAUCCCAAGAGCCUCUUCUUCGUUGCUGUUUAUGCAAAAAUGAAAUACAAAUUUGAAAUUUGAACUUUUUUCGAUCUUGUGCUUGCUCUUUUUUAUUUUAUUUUUUUUAAUUAAAAGUCUCGCAGCGCUUGCAGCUGCAACGACGCGAUGAGGCACGCAAAAAUCGAAGCACGCAGAGGGAAAGAAAACAGAAUAUAAAAGAAAAGGCUGCAAUUCAAUUAAAAUGCGGGUGAGCAGCAACAGCAGCAGACAGUGGCCAAGAUUAGGCGUACAACGGGGCGUGGCUGGGUCGAGGCACAAAUUGAAGCCGGACAGACGUCUGGACGAUGGAAUGGGAAAGCUCCCCGAUUUUCAAUUUGAUUUCUUAUAUAUAUUCGUACGUAUUUUUUUGGGCAG